CCUACGGGCGGCAGCAGUGAGGAAUAUUGGUCAAUGGGCGUAAGCCUGAACCAGCCAAGUCGCGUGAGGGAUGAAGGUACUAUGGAUCGUAAACCUCUUUUAUAAGGGAAUAAAGUGUGGGACGUGUCCCGUUUUGUAUGUACCUUAUGAAUAAGGAUCGGCUAACUCCGUGCCAGCAGCCGCGGUAAUACGGAGGAUCCGAGCGUUAUCCGGAUUUAUUGGGUUUAAAGGGUGCGUAGGCGGUCUUUUAAGUCAGCGGUGAAAGUCUGUGGCUCAACCAUAGGAUUGCCGUUGAAACUGGUAGUCUGGAGUAGGUUUGAGGUAGGCGGAAUGCGUGGUGUAGCGGUGAAAUGCUUAGAUAUCGCGCAGAACUCCGAUUGCGAAGGCAGCCUGCCAAGUCAUGACUGACGCUGAUGCACGAAAGCGUGGGGAUCGAACAGGAUUAGAUACCCCAGUAGUC
RNAcentral lists this ribosomal RNA (460 nucleotides) under uncultured bacterium. Its description in RNAcentral is "partial 16S ribosomal RNA". It matches the Rfam family "Bacterial small subunit ribosomal RNA", at positions 338 to 795 of the family's 1533-position model. The record is from RNAcentral.